RNAcentral lists this non-coding RNA (166 nucleotides) under uncultured Agathobacter sp. RNAcentral's name for it is "Lysine riboswitch". It matches the Rfam family "Lysine riboswitch aptamer". From Rfam's summary of the family: Riboswitches are metabolite binding domains within certain messenger RNAs that serve as precision sensors for their corresponding targets. Lineage: Bacteria; Bacillati; Bacillota; Clostridia; Lachnospirales; Lachnospiraceae. The record is from RNAcentral.
UAGAUAGAGGUCGCGCGAAUUAUGAGUAGUCUGCCGGAUAUCAGCAGAGAUAUGUGAACGCAGAUGAAAGGAAUAGCGCCGAAAGGAUAUUAUUACUGCAGAUUAUAUUCUUGGGCAUAGAGUGAACAACUUUAUGACUGUCAUCAUAUUUGAUGGGGAGCUAUCA